RNAcentral lists this ribosomal RNA (440 nucleotides) under uncultured bacterium. Its description in RNAcentral is "partial 16S ribosomal RNA". It matches the Rfam family "Bacterial small subunit ribosomal RNA", at positions 338 to 795 of the family's 1533-position model. The record is from RNAcentral.
CCUACGGGAGGCAGCAGUGGGGAAUAUUGCACAAUGGCGGAAACCCUGAUGCAGCGACGCCGCGUGAGUGACGAAGUAAUUCGUUAUGUAAAGCUCUAUCAGCAGGGAAGAAAAUGACGGUACCUGAGUAAGAAGCCCCGGCUAACUACGUGCCAGCAGCCGCGGUCAUACGUAGGGGGCAAGCGUUAUCCGGAUUGACUGGGGGUAAAGGGAGCGUAGACGGCAGUGCAAGUCUGGAGUGAAAGGCGGGGGCUCAACCCCCGUACUGCUCUGGAAACUGUACGGCUGGAGUGCAGGAGAGGUAAGUGGAAUUACUAGUGUAGCGGUGAAAUGCGUAGAUAUUAGGAGGAACACCAGUGGCGAAGGCGGCUUACUGGACUGUAACUGACGUUGAGGCUCGAAAGCGUGGGGAGCAAACAGGAUUAGAUACCCUGGUAGUC